Molecule: ribosomal RNA, 439 nt
Filed under: uncultured bacterium
Lineage: Bacteria
Description: partial 16S ribosomal RNA
Rfam family: Bacterial small subunit ribosomal RNA
Source: RNAcentral
CCUACGGGGUGCAGCAGUGGGGGAUAUUGCACAAUGGGGGAAACCCUGAUGCAGCAACGCCGCGUGUGGGAAGAAGGCUUUCGGAUUGUAAACCACUGUUCUUGGUGAAGAUAAUGACGGUAACCAAGGAGAAAGCUCCGGCUAACUACGUGCCAGCAGCCGCGGUAAUACGUAGGAUGCGAGCGUUAUCCGGAUUUAUUGGGUUUAAAGGGUGCGUAGGCGGAGUGUCAAGUCAGCGGUAAAAUUUCGGAGCUCAACCCCGUCGUGCCGUUGAAACUGACACCCUUGAGUGAGUGAGAAGUAAGCGGAAUGCGUGGUGUAGCGGUGAAAUGCAUAGAUAUCACGCAGAACGCCGAUUGCGAAGGCAGCUUACCGGCGCUCAACUGACGCUGAGGCACGAAAGUGCGGGUAUCGAACAGGAUUAGAUACCCGUGUAGUC